Molecule: ribosomal RNA, 1422 nt
Filed under: Staphylococcus warneri
Lineage: Bacteria; Bacillati; Bacillota; Bacilli; Caryophanales; Staphylococcaceae
Description: bacterial SSU rRNA
Rfam family: Bacterial small subunit ribosomal RNA
Source: RNAcentral
GCAGUCGAGCGAACAGAUAAGGAGCUUGCUCCUUUGACGUUAGCGGCGGACGGGUGAGUAACACGUGGAUAACCUACCUAUAAGACUGGGAUAACUUCGGGAAACCGGAGCUAAUACCGGAUAACAUAUUGAACCGCAUGGUUCAAUAGUGAAAGGCGGCUUUGCUGUCACUUAUAGAUGGAUCCGCGCCGUAUUAGCUAGUUGGUAAGGUAACGGCUUACCAAGGCAACGAUACGUAGCCGACCUGAGAGGGUGAUCGGCCACACUGGAACUGAGACACGGUCCAGACUCCUACGGGAGGCAGCAGUAGGGAAUCUUCCGCAAUGGGCGAAAGCCUGACGGAGCAACGCCGCGUGAGUGAUGAAGGUCUUCGGAUCGUAAAACUCUGUUAUCAGGGAAGAACAAAUGUGUAAGUAACUGUGCACAUCUUGACGGUACCUGAUCAGAAAGCCACGGCUAACUACGUGCCAGCAGCCGCGGUAAUACGUAGGUGGCAAGCGUUAUCCGGAAUUAUUGGGCGUAAAGCGCGCGUAGGCGGUUUUUUAAGUCUGAUGUGAAAGCCCACGGCUCAACCGUGGAGGGUCAUUGGAAACUGGAAAACUUGAGUGCAGAAGAGGAAAGUGGAAUUCCAUGUGUAGCGGUGAAAUGCGCAGAGAUAUGGAGGAACACCAGUGGCGAAGGCGACUUUCUGGUCUGUAACUGACGCUGAUGUGCGAAAGCGUGGGGAUCAAACAGGAUUAGAUACCCUGGUAGUCCACCGCCGUAAACGAUGAGUGCUAAGUGUUAAGGGGGUUUCCGCCCCUUAGUGCUGCAGCUAACGCAUUAAAGCACUCCCGCCUGGGGGAGUACGACCGGCCAAGGUUGAAACUCCAAAGGAAUUUGACGGGGAACCCGCCACAAGCGGGUGGAGCCAUGUGGGUUUAAUUCCGGAAGCAACGCGAAGGAAACCUUAACCAAAUCUUGACAUCCCUUUUGACCCGCUCUAGAGAUAGAGUCUUCCCCUUCGGGGGACAAAGUGACAGGUGGUGCAUGGUUGUCGUCAGCUCGUGUCGUGAGAUGUUGGGUUAAGUCCCGCAACGAGCGCAACCCUUAAGCUUAGUUGCCAUCAUUAAGUUGGGCACUCUAAGUUGACUGCCGGUGACAAACCGGAGGAAGGUGGGGAUGACGUCAAAUCAUCAUGCCCCUUAUGAUUUGGGCUACACACGUGCUACAAUGGACAAUACAAAGGGCAGCUAAACCGCGAGGUCAAGCAAAUCCCAUAAAGUUGUUCUCAGUUCGGAUUGUAGUCUGCAACUCGACUACAUGAAGCUGGAAUCGCUAGUAAUCGUAGAUCAGCAUGCUACGGUGAAUACGUUCCCGGGUCUUGUACACACCGCCCGUCACACCACGAGAGUUUGUAACACCCGAAGCCGGUGGAGUAAC